RNAcentral lists this ribosomal RNA (773 nucleotides) under uncultured bacterium. RNAcentral's name for it is "bacterial SSU rRNA". It matches the Rfam family "Bacterial small subunit ribosomal RNA", at positions 8 to 798 of the family's 1533-position model. The record is from RNAcentral.
AGAGUUUGAUCAUGGCUCAGGACGAACGCUGGCGGCGUGCUUAACACAUGCAAGUCGAACGGAAAGGCCCUUCGGGGUACUCGAGUGGCGAACGGGUGAGUAACACGUGGGUGAUCUGCCCUGCACUUUGGGAUAAGCCUGGGAAACUGGGUCUAAUACCGAAUAGGACCGCGCUCUUCAUGGGGUGUGGUGGAAAGCUUUUGCGGUGUGGGAUGAGCCCGCGGCCUAUCAGCUUGUUGGUGGGGUAAUGGCCUACCAAGGCGACGACGGGUAGCCGGCCUGAGAGGGUGACCGGCCACACUGGGACUGAGAUACGGCCCAGACUCCUACGGGAGGCAGCAGUGGGGAAUAUUGCACAAUGGGCGCAAGCCUGAUGCAGCGACGCCGCGUGAGGGAUGACGGCCUUCGGGUUGUAAACCUCUUUCAGUAGGGACGAAGCGAAAGUGACGGUACCUACAGAAGAAGGACCGGCCAACUACGUGCCAGCAGCCGCGGUAAUACGUAGGGUCCGAGCGUUGUCCGGAAUUACUGGGCGUAAAGAGCUCGUAGGUGGUUUGUCGCGUUGUUCGUGAAAACUCACAGCUUAACUGUGGGCGUGCGGGCGAUACGGGCAGACUAGAGUACUGCAGGGGAGACUGGAAUUCCUGGUGUAGCGGUGGAAUGCGCAGAUAUCAGGAGGAACACCGGUGGCGAAGGCGGGUCUCUGGGCAGUAACUGACGCUGAGGAGCGAAAGCGUGGGUAGCGAACAGGAUUAGAUACCCCGGUAGUCCAA